ACGGGUGAGUAACACGUGAGUAACCUGCCCUUGACUCUGGGAUAAGCCUGGGAAACUGGGUCUAAUACCGGAUAUGACCUUCCAUAGCAUGGUGGUUGGUGGAAAGCUUUUGUGGUUUUGGAUGGACUCGCGGCCUAUCAGCUUGUUGGUGGGGUAAUGGCCUACCAAGGCGACGACGGGUAGCCGGCCUGAGAGGGUGACCGGCCACACUGGGACUGAGACACGGCCCAGACUCCUACGGGAGGCAGCAGUGGGGAAUAUUGCACAAUGGGCGGAAGCCUGAUGCAGCGACGCCGCGUGAGGGAUGACGGCCUUCGGGUUGUAAACCUCUUUCAGUAGGGAAGAAGCGUAAGUGACGGUACCUGCAGAAGAAGCGCCGGCUAACUACGUGCCAGCAGCCGCGGUAAUACGUAGGGCGCAAGCGUUAUCCGGAAUUAUUGGGCGUAAAGAGCUCGUAGGCGGUUUGUCGCGUCUGCCGUGAAAGUCCGGGGCUCAACUCCGGAUCUGCGGUGGGUACGGGCAGACUAGAGUGAUGUAGGGGAGACUGGAAUUCCUGGUGUAGCGGUGAAAUGCGCAGA
RNAcentral lists this ribosomal RNA (578 nucleotides) under uncultured bacterium. RNAcentral's name for it is "bacterial SSU rRNA". It matches the Rfam family "Bacterial small subunit ribosomal RNA", at positions 102 to 694 of the family's 1533-position model. The record is from RNAcentral.